Molecule: long non-coding RNA, 462 nt
Organism: Mus musculus (house mouse)
Lineage: Eukaryota; Metazoa; Chordata; Mammalia; Rodentia; Muridae
Product: predicted gene, 38877
Exons: 3
Source: RefSeq, a predicted model, not a curated record
AGCAACAGAGUCAGAAUAACUGUGGUCACCAAAGAAUGAAGUCAAGAAAAUACUCCGGGUUCACGGAGUGAUUCGGAGAGAAAGUAGAAAGAAUUCCAUAGUCACUUGGGAUGGUGGCAUUACUGGUACCAGAUCUGACCUCCUGCUGGAUGAAAAUCUAUGAAACGACAUUGGAGCAUACAGACCACAGUACUGAGACCUUCAGGAGAAGCCGCAAGUAAAGAAACCCUGUCAUUUGUUGAAGGCUUGAUCCUCAGCUUGGGGAGAUACUGGAAACUUUAUGAGGUAGUGCCUAGUUGGAGGAAGUUUAUCAGUGAAGCAUGCCCUUGAAGAUGUAUUUCUCAGCAGCCUCUCUGUGUGCCCCCACUAUGUGCCUCCCCAAAGUGAUGCACAGGUCCAAAGUGAUGGACCAAGUGACCAUGAACCCAAAAUAAACCUUUCCUCCUUUUGUUUUCUUGGCUA